UGGGAUCCAGGUCAUGAACCCGUGUCCCCUACAUCGGCAGGCGGACUCCCAACCACUGCGCCACCAGGGAAGCCCCCACUCACUUCUAUAUACAGUUAAAUAUGGCUAGCUGUACUGGGAUAACAAUGGCUUCUCGGAAUCUGCCUUUCACUGAUUAUACUGCUCACCUAUCAUCAAGUGUGUCAUGAAGAUACAGGCUGGCGGCUGUAUGGCACUCCCCAAAUGUCAUACAUACGGUGCCCGGCAUCAGAUGUUUAUAGGUAAAGUAGAGAAACAAGGUGUGAAAGAGCCAGGAGUUGGUCCAUGAAAAAGUCUUCCAAAUCUUAGAGCUCAUAUACAAAAGAAACGUGUAGGGGCUUUCCCAAAUUUGACAACAACCCUAAAAAUGUACUCAUGUCACCCAUCACAACUGGUGUAGCUGAAAGAAACCUUUCCUAGUCUAUCAAAAAUGAAAGACAAAUUUUGAUGUGAGGAAAGAUUGAAUUAUCUUUCUUUUCUUUCCCUUAGAAAGUGAUAUUGCAAAAUUGUUGUCAAAUAAAGAGUUAUUCAGAAUAUUGAUCCCCCAAAAUGCAAGGAACAAAGAAGUAUUAGAGAGGUAAAAGUUCUGAGCACCCCAAUUCCAGUGUGUCGUAGGGUUUUUCCAAGUAAUCCUCAGAUACCACCAGAGUGUCCUACAAGUCAACUCAAUUCUGACACAAUCUACCUGGAGAUAGCAUCAGAUCCCACAGGUUAAGGGCUCAGUUCCACAAGACUGCCUCCCACUUCAGAUGCCAGUUACAAGUCCAAGUUGUCACCUGGGCUUCUGACCCACUGGCUGUAGAUUGGAGAUUCCCACAACCUCAUUCUUGGGUUUGAUUAAUCUGCUAGAGCAGCUCACAGAACUCAGAGAAAGAUUUUGCUUUCUAGAUUCCUGGUCUAAAUUCCUGAAAAGAUGGAACUCCAAAACAGCCAGAUGGAAGAGAUACACAGGCAAGGCAUGGAGAAGGCACAGAGCUUCCAUGCCGUCUCAAGAGUGCACCAUUCUCCCCAAAUCUCUACACGUUCACCAACCUAGAAGCUCUUUGAGCCCUGUCUUUUUGAGUUUUUACGUAGGCUUCAUUACAUAGGCAUUACUGAUUAAAUCAUUGGCCAUUGGCAAUUGAUUCGACUUCCACUCCCUCCCCUCUCCCCUCCCCAGAGGCAGGGGGGUGGGACUGAAAGUUCCAACCAUCUAAUCAUGUGGUUGGUUCUCCUGCCAACCAGCCCUCAUCCUUAGGUGCAUUCCAAAAGUCAUCUCAUAAUAUAAUAUAAAACACACCUUUAUCUUUCUCAUCACUUAGGAGAUUCUGAGGUUUUUAGGAGCUCUGUGCCAGGAAUGGGGAUGUAGACCAAGUAUAUAAUUCUUACUAUAAAUCACAAUGUCACAGAGGUGUGUUGGGCAAUUAAUUAAUACAAUUAUUAUGCUCUUUUUCUGGCUUUGUGAUGUUUGGAUUAUUAUCAGCUUUUUAAAAUGUGUAAUUUCUUGAGAUUUAUUUUCUUAUUCAAAAUAAAUAUUUACUUUUGUACCUAACUUUGUAUUAAUAAUUUUGUAUCACUUUUAUGAAAGAGGGCCUCUGAAAUUGUAUAAGCUUCAGGUCUUACAAGACUUGGAUUUAUCCCGGCUGGCUUAGUUAUUUUCAAAGUGUUGUUAUGCAAAGAUGAUUUGUUUCAUAGGGUACCAGAGGGCCAGAAAUUUAAUUGAUGGUGGGAGUCGCAGGAGAACAGAUUUCAGGUCAGUUUAAGAAGAAUAUUUUAAUAUUCAGAGCCUUCCAAAGAUGAAGAGGGAAAUCAUGAGGAGUAGUGAGUUCCAUGACAGUGGAGAUAGUUAAGUAAAAGCUUCACCAUCAGUUGACAUGGCUAUUGUCGUGUGGGCCCAAGCUUGCAAGGCCGUUUGGGCAUAAUGAAUUUUCAGGUAUACUUUGAUGCCUAGAGUUUCUGCUUCUUCCUUUCUGAUGUACCCACGGCCCCCUUCUUAUGCCCUCACACUGCUUUCACAGUAGACUCUUACUUUCUGUCCAAGUAAUGAGGACAGAAAACAAGGAAGCUGACAAUCUUUUUAUGAAGAGGAACUGAGGUUUCAGAAGGGAGAUUAAUGGCCUGGCAUGUUCAGCCAUCAAGAGGGAAUCCACUGCAGACAGUUUCUAGAAACACCUUCUACAAGCUUCCCAAAGACCUAAUCGCGUCCUAAAGGAAAGACCCAGCUUCUCACUAAAGGUGGAGGCAGUUGCUUUGCCAUUAACCUUUUCAAGGGGUCACUUCCACACCAUGCACCCAACACGCCACACAGAAAAUGUAACUGAACAUCAGUUUUGCUUUUCUUCUUGCUUAACUGUUUUAAAUGUCCUUGAACUGCAUUUCUCCACCAGGCUUAAUGUUAUGGAUUGUGGAUUACAUUUACUGCUCAGCACUUCUUACUCAAUCCUGGAUGAUCGCAGACCUACUGAGUUGUUAACUCACAUGGUCAGCAUUACUGUCUGAGAGUAGUUAUACCAAAUGACUGUAGCAGAGAACAGUUAACACCUGGCCUUAGUGAGGCCUAGUGAAAUCAGCACUUUGGUUCUUCUUUUCCACCCAGCAAAAACCCAGGGGGAAUGUAUGCAUAAUGACUUGGGUUAACUGUCCUUAUCUUCCAGAGAGUUCAGAUUACUACUCCAGUCUUCCUAGCUGCCUUAUCUUGGAAAAUUAUAUUUGAAAGCUGCAGGAUGGCCACUUCUCCCAUCUUACAGGCAGUUUACAGUAUUCCAGAGAAAGAUGUGAGUUCUUCCCAGUCACAGAGAAAGUCAGGAGGUUGCUCCGUUUUUGUUUUUGUUUUCGUACUAGCACAAGUCACCUGGUUAGGAGAUUUCCAAAAAGUUGAUGUGGAAGCUACAAAAAGCUUUAGAAUCAUAGACUCAAAGCUGAAAGGGACCUUAAAAGUUAUUUAGUAUUUGCAUCUCUACACCUUGAACAUCUUCUCAAAUAAAGAUGACUAGAACCUGCCGCAUGUAUGACGUCCCACUGAAGCGACUUUAUCUCCUGAUCAGGAUGAGAAUUCCACUCCUGUCGGACAGAUGAGCCCAGGAGAGUGGAGCACAAUGGACCUGUGAGGUUUUAUUAGAGGAGACCCUGAAUCACUAAGAUUCCUAAGAUUGGGAGUCUUCAAGGGCAGGGACGAGAUCCCCUGAAGAUGCUCGAAUCUUGAAGAAGCUCAAAAGAUUUAACAAAAAAGAAACAAGAAGACUAGAAGCAACCUAAAUGCACAUAAAAUGGAAUCUUAUGUGGCCACUGAAAACACUGAGGCAGAUCUACACAUACUCACAAAGAAUGAAGUCCAUAGCGUAUUGUUAAGAGAAAAGAAUGCAAGAACAAUGGGAUGUGUCUACCCGAAGACACAUAAAGGAUAAAGGAAAUGUACCAUGUGAGUUUCCUCCACACUUGUGGGCUGGAACAGGAAUUUGUCAGCUGCCAUCAAUGAGCUGAGAAGCUAUGGAUGAGAAGUUUAGAGGAUGCAAUACAGGAAUUCAGUGCCUGCUCCAGAAUGUGCAACUGUGGGUGAGAAGAAACCAAGGGGGCAUUUAAUAAACCUCUGUCUGAGGAAUAAUAAA
This is a long non-coding RNA of Aethalodelphis obliquidens (Pacific white-sided dolphin), 3602 nucleotides long. RefSeq lists it as uncharacterized. The record is from RefSeq and is a predicted model, not a curated record. Lineage: Eukaryota; Metazoa; Chordata; Mammalia; Artiodactyla; Delphinidae. The transcript is spliced from 4 exons.